UUUUUUAAUGGUAAUCUUGCAGUGUUGGUAAACGACUAUCAUACUUAAGAGACCAUAAUCAAAAUAGGUUUGAAUAAAAGGGAUCCUUUAGCUCCAUUUCUUCUCCUUCUAGUGGAAAAAGGGCUUAGCGGUCUUGUUGCUAGCGCUGGGGAGAUUGUUCUUUACUCUAGAUUCAGGGUUGGUACAUCUGGGUUAGUGGUAUCUCAUCUUCAC
RNAcentral lists this long non-coding RNA (213 nucleotides) under Lathyrus oleraceus (garden pea). RNAcentral describes it as "Pisum sativum (pea) long non-coding RNA (PSAT_LNC012611)". The record is from RNAcentral. Lineage: Eukaryota; Viridiplantae; Streptophyta; Magnoliopsida; Fabales; Fabaceae.